Molecule: ribosomal RNA, 246 nt
Filed under: uncultured bacterium
Lineage: Bacteria
Description: partial 16S ribosomal RNA
Rfam family: Bacterial small subunit ribosomal RNA
Source: RNAcentral
UGAGUAAUGUCUGGGAAACUGCCUGAUGGAGGGGGNGUAACUACUGGAAACGGUAGCUAAUACCGCAUAACGUCGCAAGACCAAANAGGGGGACCUUCGGGCCUCUUGCCAUCGGAUGUGCCCAGAUGGGAUUAGCUAGUAGGUGGGGUAACGGCUCACCUAGGCGACGAUCCCUAGCUGGUCUGAGAGGAUGACCAGCCACACUGGAACUGAGACACGGUCCAGACUCCUACGGGAGGCAGCAUG